RNAcentral lists this ribosomal RNA (774 nucleotides) under uncultured Neocallimastigales. RNAcentral describes it as "partial large subunit ribosomal RNA". It matches the Rfam family "Eukaryotic large subunit ribosomal RNA", at positions 18 to 644 of the family's 3401-position model. The record is from RNAcentral. Lineage: Eukaryota; Fungi; Neocallimastigomycota; Neocallimastigomycetes; Neocallimastigales.
UCAGACGAUGCGUCAUGCAUAUCAAUAAGCGGAGGAAAAGAAACUAACAAGGAUUCCCCUAGUAACGGCGAGUGAAGCGGGAAGAGCUCAAAUUUGAAAUCUUAAAGGGUUUCCCUUUACGAAUUGUAGUUUAAAGAAGUGUUUUCUGUUGAGGUUUUGGUAAAAGCUCUUUGGAAUAGGACAUCAUAGAGGGUGAGAAUCCCGUAUUUGACCUUUACUUUCAACUUUGUGAUACACUUUCAAAGAGUCGGAUUGUUUGGGAAUGCAGUCCAAAAUGGGUGGUAAAUUUCAUCUAAAGCUAAAUAUUGGCGAGAGACCGAUAGCGAACAAGUACCGUGAGGGAAAGAUGAAAAGAACUUUGAAAAGAGAGUUAAACAGUACGUGAAAUUGUCAAAAGGGAAGCGUUUGACACCAGUGUUGUUUUUCUGAAAAUCAAUUAAAGAACUGUUUAUGCUAAGCUGUUUAGACUUUAUCAGCUAUCUGUUUAGUUUUGAGCUUUUCUUUAAUGCACUUUUCAGUUAACAAGUCAACAUCAAUUUCUUUUGCUGUAAAAAAGCUUGAGGAAGGUGGCUUGAGAUUCGUCUUAAGUGUUUAUAGCCUCUUGCCUAUGCAGUCGGAGAGAUUGAGGUCUGCAGCGUAGAUCCUUCGGGGCUAAAUGCAUUUGUGCUAAGUUAUAGCAUUUUAUAGACAACUUGUUGACUAUGAUUUGUCUUGUAGCUUACUCGCUUAUGUUAUUUUACCUACGCUUAGGAUGUUGAAUCUGUGCGAGACUAC